GUACUCACUGGGGUAACACGUACUAAAAUUGGAAAGAUACAGAGAUGAUUAGCAUGGCUCCUGUGGAAGGAUGAUACAUAGUUUGGCAAGUGUCUUAUAUUGUG
Molecule: small nuclear RNA, 104 nt
Organism: Dromiciops gliroides (monito del monte)
Lineage: Eukaryota; Metazoa; Chordata; Mammalia; Microbiotheria; Microbiotheriidae
Source: RefSeq, a predicted model, not a curated record